RNAcentral lists this long non-coding RNA (1335 nucleotides) under Sus scrofa (pig). RNAcentral's name for it is "lncRNA (ENSSSCG00030043977.1)". The record is from RNAcentral. Lineage: Eukaryota; Metazoa; Chordata; Mammalia; Artiodactyla; Suidae.
GGAUCCGUUCAAUUCUCCUUUUCUUAGCCCUGAGGCUGAACCGUUCUGUGUGUGUGUGUGUGUGUGUGUGUGUGUGUGCACGCGCGCGCAUGCUUGCAUGCUUCUUUUUUCAGGAAAUUGCACUCGUUUCUAAGACUUUUCUCAUUGGGCAAUCACCCUUCCAGCUGGAGCCUGGGCAGCCCCCAGAGUCUAAAUCUCCCAACCAGAAUCAUGACAGACAAGAGGUCCCUGGUCUUCCUCACAAAGCCCGAAGUCACACCGUCUUAUGUUCCUGUCUUCUAGAACUUUCUGUCCAGUCAUAAGCUCCCUUAAGAUUGCCAUGUUCAUCCUGCUACUGUGAGGUGUCACAGCAAUGUGUACAUGAACUCCUGCCCAAUGCCCGAGGCUCCUGCUGUCUCCUGGGGCUGUGGACACAGGGCAGUAGGCUGAAGCCCUAUGGAGGGAGAGAACACCCUUUGGUAGCUGUCGUGGGCCUGGCUUUUUUCUCCAGAUUGGAGCCACCAUUCUGCCCUGGAAAUUAUGUCGAAUCACCCUUCCCCCGGGGAAGGUGGCCCACCUUAGCUGAUCCCUGCAGCCUCUCUGCUCCUAUACUCACCCUGCCUUCUCCUCACACCCGCUUCCUAUGGUUUGUUCUUAGAUCUCCUUUGUCUGCUCUUCACAUGACAUGGUUCUGCCCUCAGACUCUCAGGUUGAACAUUCCCCCAGACAGAGGCUGUGUCUCCCCAUCAGACUGGCAUCUCCCACGAGCAGUGGGAGAAGGGACUCUCCCAGUUGAUGGUAUGAGAAAGAAGAGCCUUGGUGGGCUUCAUCCUUAUUCUUCCCCCCCACCCUCCCAAUCAGUGCCCAAGGGUAGCCGGGGACCUUGGGGCCAUGUUGAGGUGCUCUGUCUAAAACAGAGCAUAUAGAACAAUCAGGGAGCCAAGACCUGGAACGACUAUCUGAACCCACAGAUUCAUGGUAAAGGAUAAAUACUUUUUAUAGUUGUGGCUCACGAAAUGGCUCGUGGAAGAAUCCAGAGCAUUGUUAUGAAGUGUCCUCGCCAAGAGACACUGUGUUUCCUUUGUACUGUUUACACUGGCCUUGGCGGCCCUCAACAGAGGAUUUAGCCAAGGGAGCUCUGAGCUGAGGGCUGCAAGCUAGUUAAGUCAUUUACUGGGCACAAAUGAUGCCGCUUUGAUCCAGUCACCUCUCGACAGUGAGCUGAUGCGGCCAUCCCAGCCAGCUCUUAGAAGACCAUUGUGGAUGCUCUUUCUUGGGAGGCAUCUGGAGUGGGACUGGGGCUGUGCGGCAAGACCCCAGAGACUCCAGACUGCGGCCUCUUGAUACCUGCCCCCU